GACGAACGCUGGCGGCGUGCCUAAUACAUGCAAGUUGAGCGCUGAAGGUUGGUACUUGAACCGACUGGAUGAGCAGCGAACGGGUGAGUAACGCGUGGGGAAUCUGCCUUUGAGCGGGGGACAACAUUUGGAAACGAAUGCUAAUACCGCAUAACAACUUUAAACACAAGUUUUAAGUUUGAAAGAUGCAAUUGCAUCACUCAAAGAUGAUCCCGCGUUGUAUUAGCUAGUUGGUGAGGUAAAGGCUCACCAAGGCGAUGAUACAUAGCCGACCUGAGAGGGUGAUCGGCCACAUUGGGACUGAGACACGGCCCAAACUCCUGCGGGAGGCAGCAGUAGGGAAUCUUCGGCAAUGGGCGAAAGUCUGACCGAGCAACGCCGCGUGAGUGAAGAAGGUUUUCGGAUCGUAAAACUCUGUUGGUAGAGAAGAACGUUGGUGAGAGUGGAAAGCUCAUCAAGUGACGGUGACUACCCAGAAAGGGACGGCUAACUACGUGCCAGCCGCCGCGGUAA
This 513-nucleotide ribosomal RNA is filed under the name uncultured bacterium. RNAcentral describes it as "partial 16S ribosomal RNA". It matches the Rfam family "Bacterial small subunit ribosomal RNA", at positions 28 to 523 of the family's 1533-position model. The record is from RNAcentral.